RNAcentral lists this ribosomal RNA (397 nucleotides) under uncultured bacterium. Its description in RNAcentral is "bacterial SSU rRNA". It matches the Rfam family "Bacterial small subunit ribosomal RNA", at positions 28 to 429 of the family's 1533-position model. The record is from RNAcentral.
GACGAACGCUGGCGGCGUGCUUAACACAUGCAAGUCGAGCGGUAAGGCCCCUUCGGGGGUACACGAGCGGCGAACGGGCGAGUAACACGUGGGUGACCUGCCCUCAGCUCUGGGAUAAGCCUGGGAAACUGGGUCUAAUACCGGAUAUGACUCCAUGACGCAUGUCGUGGGGUGGAAAGCCUUGUGCGGCUGGGGAUGGGCCCGCGGCCUAUCAGCUUGUUGGUGGGGUGAUGGCCUACCAAGGCGACGACGGGUAGCCGGCCUGAGAGGGCGACCGGCCACACUGGGGACUGAGACACGGCCCAGACUCCUACGGGAGGCAGCAGUGGGGAAUCUUGCGCAAUGGGCGAAAGCCUGACGCAGCGACGCCGCGUGAGGGAUGACGGCCUGGUGUAAC